RNAcentral lists this ribosomal RNA (253 nucleotides) under uncultured bacterium. Its description in RNAcentral is "partial 16S ribosomal RNA". It matches the Rfam family "Bacterial small subunit ribosomal RNA", at positions 524 to 776 of the family's 1533-position model. The record is from RNAcentral.
UACGUAGGGGGCAAGCGUUGUCCGGAAUGACUGGGCGUAAAGGGAGUGUAGGUGGCAUAAUAAGUUAUAUGUGAAAGCCCGCAGCUUAACUGCGGAACUGCAUAUAAAACUGUUAGGCUGGAGUGCAGGAGAGGUAAGCGGAAUUCCUAGUGUAGCGGUGGAAUGCGUAGAUAUUAGGAAGAACACCAGAGGCGAAGGCGGCUUACUGGACUGUAACUGACAUUGAGGCUCGAAAGCGUGGGGAGCAAACAGG